AGCAGUCGCCGCGGUAAAACGUAGGUGGCAAGCGUUGUCCGGAAUUAUUGGGCGUAAAGGGCUCGCAGGCGGUUUCUUAAGUCUGAUGUGAAAGCCCCCGGCUCAACCGGGGAGGGUCAUUGGAAACUGGGAAACUUGAGUGCAGAAGAGGAGAGUGGAAUUCCACGUGUAGCGGUGAAAUGCGUAGAGAUGUGGAGGAACACCAGAGGCGAAGGCGACUCUCUGGUCUGUAACUGACGCUGAGGAGCGAAAGCGUGGGGAGCGAACAGGAUUAGAUACCCCAGUAGUCCCUGUCUCUUAACA
Molecule: ribosomal RNA, 303 nt
Filed under: uncultured bacterium
Lineage: Bacteria
Description: partial 16S ribosomal RNA
Rfam family: Bacterial small subunit ribosomal RNA
Source: RNAcentral